Molecule: ribosomal RNA, 497 nt
Filed under: uncultured bacterium
Lineage: Bacteria
Description: partial 16S ribosomal RNA
Rfam family: Bacterial small subunit ribosomal RNA
Source: RNAcentral
GAUGAACGCUGGCGGCGUGCCUAAUACAUGCAAGUCGAGCGAACAGACGAGGAGCUUGCUCCUCUGACGUUAGCGGCGGACGGGUGAGUAACACGUGGAUAACCUACCUAUAAGACUGGGAUAACUUCGGGAAACCGGAGCUAAUACCGGAUAAUAUAUUGAACCGCAUGGUUCAAUAGUGAAAGACGGUUUUGCUGUCACUUAUAGAUGGAUCCGCGCCGCAUUAGCUAGUUGGUAAGGUAACGGCUUACCAAGGCAACGAUGCGUAGCCGACCUGAGAGGGUGAUCGGCCACACUGGAACUGGGACACGGUCCAGACUCCUACGGGAGGCAGCAGUAGGGAAUCUUCCGCAAUGGGCGAAAGCCUGACGGAGCAACGCCGCGUGAGUGAUGAAGGUCUUCGGAUCGUAAAACUCUGUUAUUAGGGAAAAACAAAUGUGUAAGUAACUAUGCACGUCUUGACGGUACCUAAUCAGAAAGCCACGGCUAACUACGUG